GCAGCUGCUGCUUUGCUUCUCCCCUGGUUCCUAUUGUAGUACAGGCUCAGAGUCAGCAAAGCAGCCUCGUCCUGAACCCUAGUUUACACCUAGAAUAUGAGGCAGGUGAUAAGAGUGACACUGUUCCUGAUCCUGGGCACUUUAAGCCUUGCGAAGACCACCCAGCGCAUCUCCAUGGACGCCUAUGAAGGAAAGGAAGUGAACAUAUCCUGUAACCACACCAACAUUGCCACAAAUGAGUACAUCUUCUGGUACCGACAGGUCCCCCACCAGGGACCACACUUUGUCAUUCAAGGAUAUAAGACGAAUGUGGCAAAUGAAGUGGCAUCUCUGUUUAUCCCGGUUGACAGAAAGUCCAGCACCCUGAGCCUGCACCGCGUUACCCUGAAAGACAGUGCUGUGUACUACUGCACUGUGGGUGGCACAGAGCCUCUGGAGGUGCAAGCUACUCAUCCUUUGUUCUUCCAUCUCAGUUCUGAUACCUGUACCACCAAUCAAGGCCUCCAGCUCCUUCUGAUGUACGUGUCAGGGACCACUUUGAUUAAAGGCAUCUGUGGUUUUGAGGCUGAACUUAGGAAGAAUGAAGCCUUCUUCCACCUGAGGAAGCCCUGA
This is a non-coding RNA of Marmota flaviventris (yellow-bellied marmot), 612 nucleotides long. NCBI's taxonomy places the organism in Eukaryota, Metazoa, Chordata, Mammalia, Rodentia, Sciuridae. The record is from the annotation of a RefSeq genome assembly.